This 286-nucleotide small RNA is filed under the name Maritimibacter sp. HL-12. RNAcentral's name for it is "5' ureB small RNA". It matches the Rfam family "5' ureB small RNA". Lineage: Bacteria; Pseudomonadati; Pseudomonadota; Alphaproteobacteria; Rhodobacterales; Roseobacteraceae. The record is from Rfam by way of RNAcentral.
CGUCGUCAACCUGCUGCGGGCAGAUGAAAUGGAUAUGCGCAUCGAAGCCGCCCGCGGUGAGGAUCUUGCCCUCGCCCGCGAUGAUCUCGGUUCCCGGGCCGAUGAACACGUCGACACCCGGCUGGGUAUCGGGGUUUCCGGCCUUGCCGAUCACCGCGAUCCGGCCAUCGCGCAGGCCGACAUCGGCCUUGUAGAUGCCGGUAUGGUCGACGAUCAGCGCAUUGGUGAUCACGGUAUCCAUCGCCCCGGCCUCGCGGGUGAUCUGGCUUUGCCCCAUGCCGUCGCG